Gymnodraco acuticeps is the source of this 837-nucleotide long non-coding RNA. RefSeq lists it as uncharacterized. The transcript is spliced from 4 exons. The record is from RefSeq and is a predicted model, not a curated record. Lineage: Eukaryota; Metazoa; Chordata; Actinopteri; Perciformes; Bathydraconidae.
UUUUGUUUUUCAAUUUUGCCCCAAAACGAAAAAACGGAAAUUCAGCUCGUUUUUUCGUUUUUCUGUUCUUAUUGUUAAAACAAGUAUACCACUCAAUGUUUCGUUUCCAUAAGUGGGUGUGUCUCCAGCGCCUCCUUGCUUCUGAUUGGCUAGUGUGCCCUAUGCUUGCGCUGUACUCUUCAAAAAUAAAGGUUCUACGUCUUUGCCUUUAGACUGCGUUACAAAAUACUGGACCAACAUAUGGAAGAAAAAUGAUGACUGGUUACCUGGCCUCAAAAGGAAUCCGAGCAUCAGAGGGGCGUGUUGGUCGUGUCCUCAGAGAAACUAACCAGCCAUAUCAUGCAGAUCGGUAUCGUAGAUAAAGGAAUUUAAAUCCAGUGCCAUACAGUGCAGAGUACAUGGGUCACAAAUUGCACAUUGACCAAAACGAGAAACUGGUGAUGUAUGGGGUGACCCACGUCCUUGCCGUGGACGGAUUCUCCAGCAACAUUAAUCAUAUUAUAGAAAGGAUGUGGCCAGAGGUAAACAACAGGGUAAACUACCCUCUGAAAGGCGCACUCAACCACCUUGUUGACCAGGAGGAACUAAACCUCGAAGACAACAUCACACGAUAUUGUGUGUCCACUCUUACCUGUCAGGUAGCCAAAAUUGGACUUGCCCGGAUGGUGCAGUCCUGGAAUGCACACAGAAUCCAAGGUUUGUAUAGCAGUUUUCAGAAUGUUACUUAAGCCCCAUAACAAAUGACCUUCUUUAUGUAUUUUUAUAAGUUGUACUUAUAUCCUACAUUUGUUUGUCUCUGUAUCCCCUUCUUUACACUAGGUUGAUGGAAAUGUUUAA